ACGACAAAUGAAGUGUAACUCUCUAGCCUCUGCACCUCAACUCCACUCUCACUUUCAUGCGGUGGACCCCGUUACUUCAAGCAACUUUGUGGAAGACUAGGAGAAAUCCCAGUGGGAAACGGAGUCGACAAACAGACGAGAGUACAGGAGGGAUUACUGGCGCAAAUAUUUUGGUCCAAUAAUCUGGUGAUCUUAAAGCGAGGGAAGAAUCACGUAAGGCUUUAUUAAUUAACAAGAACAAGCCAUAUCAUCACAAUAUAUACGGAUGUCAAAUAUUUAAAUAAGGCUACACUAGAAGAUUCGCUCUGAUAAUCCUUUUGACUAAUUUUGUCAUUUGUGGGGUGGGAAUAUUAUGAGUGGUAUAUAAUAGUAUAAUUUUUGUGACUAGUAUGUCUGAGAAAUCUAUAAAUAUAAAAGAAAGUCAGGUUUGUUACAACACUUAUACCUCAAGAACAGCUGGACCGAUUAGGCUAAAAAUUGGUGGAGAGGAGCUUAGAUCUAGGAGAAGAACAUAGGAUACUUAUGGUAGAGGUAGAGUUCAGUAGAGUAUGGUAGAGUAGGUGUUGGGUGGGAGUAUGGUAGGGUAGCUGUUACUCUUUAACGCCGCAACUACUGAACCGAUUUGGCUGAAAUUUAUAACGAAGAUAGAUAUUACCCUGGAUUAAUUUAGGAAUAUCCCGGAAAAUCUAUGGUUCCCGCGGGAUUUGUGAAAAACUGAACUUUCCACGUGGACGAAGUCGCGGGCAUCCGCUAGUUUAAUAUAAUUUUGGUAAAAAUUGUUUACGAUUUUGACGAAGGUAAAUCAAAAAAUCAUGAUAAUUAAUUUUACUUUACAGGUCAAAUAUGCUUCAGACGUCUUCAGUUUUAGAGGUGUACACUGCCUUACUUUGGAAAAUGAAGUCAUAUUAUAAAGAACUUCGUUAUAGUGUUCCAUAUGUCAACAUGACUGCCUCUGUGGUCCAGUGGUUAGUCUAUGUGUUCACAAGGUCCUGGGUUCAAAUCCUGGGUAGAGCUAAAUGAGAUACUGAGUUUUUCCUUCUUUUAAGAAAUUUUUAGUUAUAAUUAUCAGCCGUGAGUUGGAAAGUUGGUGGCAUUACACCCCAUUAGUUUUAGUUCACAAACGCCAUUUAGAUUGAAACUUUUUCUCCUUCUCCUAGAACUAUGAUUGAGGUGUAAUUUUUUCGGAAACACAUUUGAAAAGCUUUUGAAAAAAUUAAAGGGCUGCUUGCAAAAAUUGCAAAAGUUAUAAACAAUUAACUAAAAUAUAAGGGGUCAAUUAUUAUGCUUCGGACGUCUUCAGUUACAGAGGUACACUGUACACUGCCUUUUACUUGGGAAAAUGAAGUCAUACGAAGAUCUUAGUUAUAGUGUUCCAUAAUUAUGUUAACAUAACUCUCUUACAUACUUAUAACAUAAGCCUCUCUGGUUCAGUGGUUACCCUAUGUGGUCACGAGGUCCGGGGUUAUAUAAGAUACUGAGCUUUUCAUCUAAGAAAUUUUGACUUAUAAUUCUCAGUCCUUAGUUGGGAAUUUAGUGGUGUUACACCCUGUGCCUCAGAGUGCAUGUUAACCUGUCCCGGACAAGGCCACGUCCCGUAAAUAAUGGAUAAAACGCAAAUGGUAGAUACGCCACCUAAUUCUACAAUUCUACGUUUUAUACUAAUUUACUACCCUCUAUAAGUGUACAAGUUUUUAAAAUAAUGGUUUUUUCGAUUCAAAAUUAGAUUUCAUCAUUUUUUACCGGACAAUGUGUUUUAAAUCGGGUCCUAAUGAAAGAAAAAGGUGGUGUAUCUAUCAUAUUAGUCUGAUCUACAUGUGCUCUUUAGUAUAAAAAAA
Molecule: RNA transcript, 1835 nt
Organism: Bicyclus anynana (squinting bush brown)
Lineage: Eukaryota; Metazoa; Arthropoda; Insecta; Lepidoptera; Nymphalidae
Exons: 2
Source: RefSeq, a predicted model, not a curated record